Molecule: small nucleolar RNA, 97 nt
Organism: Lampris incognitus (smalleye Pacific opah)
Lineage: Eukaryota; Metazoa; Chordata; Actinopteri; Lampriformes; Lampridae
Product: Z30 small nucleolar RNA
Exons: 1
Source: RefSeq, a predicted model, not a curated record
UUGCACUGAUGAGCCUAGAUAUAAAUGACCUGGUAUUGCUUCCCUCCGGGGAUGGCUCUGACCAGGGUAAGAUCUCGUUAAUCUUCUCUCUGAGCAG